This 468-nucleotide ribosomal RNA is filed under the name uncultured bacterium. RNAcentral's name for it is "partial 16S ribosomal RNA". It matches the Rfam family "Bacterial small subunit ribosomal RNA", at positions 28 to 507 of the family's 1533-position model. The record is from RNAcentral.
GACGAACGCUGGCGGCGUGCUUAACACAUGCAAGUCGAACGGAAAGGCCCUGCUUUUGUGGGGUGCUCGUUUGGCGAACGGGUGAGUAACACGUGUGUAACCUGCCCUUGUCUUUGGGAUAACUUCAGGAAACUGGGGCUAAUACCGGAUAGGAGCUCCUGCUGCAUGGUGGGCGUUGGAAAGUUUCGGCGGUUGGGGAUGGACUCGAGGCUUAUCAGCUUCUUGGUCGGGUAGUGGCUUACCAAGGCUUUGACGGGUAGCCGGCCUGAGAGGGUGACCGGCCACAUUGGGACUGAGAUACGGCCCAGACUGGUACGGGAGGCAGCAGGGGGAAAUAUUGCACAAUGAGCGGAAGGCUGAUGCAGAAACGCUGCGUGCGGGAUAACGGCCUUCUGGUUGAAAACCGCUUUCGCAUGUGACGAAGCGUGAGUGACGGUAAUGGGUAAAGAAGGACCGGCUAACUACGUG